Molecule: ribosomal RNA, 794 nt
Filed under: uncultured Rhodobacterales bacterium
Lineage: Bacteria; Pseudomonadati; Pseudomonadota; Alphaproteobacteria; Rhodobacterales
Description: partial 16S ribosomal RNA
Source: RNAcentral
UGGCUAUCUGGUCGAUCCGCAAACCUCUGAUACCGUGAUGUCAGUUCUGCGGUCUUCGGCGUCUUUGCGGUCGGUCGCGAAUGUGGUGAACGUCGAAGCGACGUCUUAUGACGUGCUGGUUGAUCACACCGAAAUGGGGGCCGGCUGGUCGGAUGAGGUGACCGCUUCUGCGGAAACUUCAAGCCCGCAGUUUGACCGGAUUUCGAUUGGUCUGCAUGAACUUUCGGCGCUGCCGAAAGCAUCACAACGUCUGCUGGAUGACGCGGCAUUUGAUAUUGAAAGCUGGCUUGCCGGCCGCAUUGCCGAGAAGUUUUCACGCGCGGAAGCAGCGGCGUUUAUCAAUGGCGACGGCGUGGACAAGCCGAAAGGGUUCCUGGCGCAUACAAUCGUUGAUGAUGCGUCCUGGACCUGGGGCAACCUUGGCUAUGUCGCCACCGGUGCGGACGGUGAUUUUGACGCCGCCACCCCGGCGACGUCCAUCGUGGACCUCGUAUAUGCGCUUGGGGCGGAAUACCGCGCGAAUGCGUCCUUUGUGAUGAAUUCAAAGACCGCGGGCGCCGUGCGCAAGAUGAAAGACGCGGACGGCCGUUCCUGUGGUCUGACGGUCUUGCGGCCGGUGAGCCGGCGCGCCUGAUGGGCUAUCCGGCGCUGAUCGCCGAGGACAUGCCGGAUAUUGCGUCUGACACUCAUGCGAUUGCCUUUGGUGACUUUGGUGCCGGCUACACGGUUGCCGAACGUCCGGAUCUGCGGGUGUUGCGUGAUCCGUUCUCUGCCAAGCCGCAUGUGCUGUUCUA